RNAcentral lists this long non-coding RNA (2161 nucleotides) under Cyanistes caeruleus (blue tit). RNAcentral describes it as "lncRNA (ENSCCEG00000019098.1)". Lineage: Eukaryota; Metazoa; Chordata; Aves; Passeriformes; Paridae. The record is from RNAcentral.
AUGUUCCUCAGCAGAAAGUUGUACCAGGAGUCCCUCAGACAGUGUUACUGUACUAUUUGCUUUAUAUUUAUUGGACAUUUUUUUAAUUCCUCCUUCUUGCUUUUCAGUUUCAGGAUGGACAACACAGGGAAGGUAGCCCUGCAAUACUUCUGGGAAGAAGCUGCAGAUUAUGAACCAGUGAGCAAGCCCUAUUCAACCACUCUGAUGCGUCAGUUGCUCUCUUCUGCUACUGUAAAGAAGUACAGAAAGCUGGUGCAUAGUUUCUGGUGGCAGCAGGGCUCUCAUUUUAAGACACAUCCUUCUGAGCUGCGGCGCCUACAGGAGCUUGCCAAGCAGCAGCAGGAUUCCAAGCAGCAGCAGCCUUCUGAGCAGCAGCAGCAGGAGCCUGAGCAGCAGCAACAGGAGCAGUCCAAGCAGCAGCAGGAUUCCAAGCAGAAGCAGUCCAAGCAGAAGGACCGUUCCAAGAAGCUACGCCGCUCUAAGCAAAAGCAGCUCUCUCUGGAGCGUGUCAGUUCCUCCCUGGAAAUCUUCCCAGACAUCGUCCAUGACGUGCCCCUGUUCUCUAUCGACCCCGACCACGGCACCAUCGCUCCUGGCCAGCAGCAGACCUUCCAAGUGCUGUUCUCCCCGAAGUGUGUGGGGAACUUUGAGAUCACCAUGCUGUGCAGGUGGGAAACGUCUACGUACUUGCCAACUCACGCUUCUGAUGGGUAUCACUGAAUCACAGCUUGGAACAGGGUAGAAGGGACCACAGGAGGUCAUCUGCUCCCACCUCCCUGCUCACGUGGGGUCAUCCCAGAGCACGUGGCACAGGGUUGUGUCCAGAGGGCUCUGGAAUAAUUCCAGUGAGGGACACUCCACACCCUCUCUGGGCAGCUGUCUCCUACACAGGAAAGACGUUCUUCCUCAAGUUCGGAUGGAGGAAUUUCCUGUUCAGGUUCUGCCCACUGCCUCUUGUGCUAUUGCUGGGCAUCACCAAGCACAGCCUGGUUCAUCACCUAACACCCUCCCUUCAGUCCCUCUGACUGGGAUGGGGAGGUGGGCCUGGAGACAAGCAGCCCAAGAGAAGCAGCAGCUCCCACAGGAGCACAGAGUGAUCAUCUGGCCUUGGUAGGGAGACACUGGCAAAAGACACUGUAUGAAACAUUAAGCUCCUGCAGGGUUGCAAAAUCUGAAACAAGAGAUCCAGGAAGAAGCCAGUCCCUAGCUCUGCUUCCUUUUGGGACAAGCAAGGCCUGCUUCUCUACACGAGCCCCGUGUAAUGCAGUUGGUCCCCAGGCACUUAACUGGUUGUGUUCCUGCCCUUGCACCUCUGCAGCCUCCAAGGAGUGAGUGCAGUUGUUUCAUUUGCUGCUCACUGCUUGCACAGAGAGAGGAUGCAACACUGUGUGCUCUGCAAGGAGACAGAAAAGCGUCUGGCUGGAAAUGUUUAUCUGGCUAAUAGCAGUCCCUCUCUUCCCAGCAUUCCUAACCUGGAGCCGAGUCACAGGAGGGUGCGGGUGAUUCUGAAGGGCAGAGCCCGGGACCAGAAGAGUUUUGAUAGAGAGAAACGCUCUGCCUUACGGCAGGCAGAGGAAGGCCAGAGACCCAAGAAGCAGGUGCGCUGGCAGCCAACACCCGAGUGACAACAUUUGUGUCAGCUGGAGCAUCCAGCAGGAGCUGGCAACAUCUUGUUUGCUGCUGCUGAUGGUCUCCCACCUCCUACCUGAGACCUCUGCAGCCACCCUCUCAAGCUCCAGCUCCACCUCCUCAUUAUCAUUUAACUAACCAAUUGUUAGUUAAAUGGUAAUUAACUAUUAAUCACUGUUCAUUAAACAGUUGUUCACAGAUCGCUGUCAGCCUGUUUUGUUUGCAAAGACAGGUGUCUGCCUGACCUCUCUGGAAUGGAGAAUGUGACCCCCUUCCCUCCAAAUUAUUGUAACUUUGAAAUUAAGGGCCCUUCAGGCAAAGAUAUGGGAAAAGGAGCAACACUUCUUUACUACUAUGUGUAACAAGGCAAACAAACAACGCUGGCAGCAACAACAAACAGAACCAAAUACCAAACCACAGCCUUCUCUCGGCUGCAGGCACUUUCCCUUUGGUGUAGUUCCAGUCGCAGCUGGGCAGGGAAGGGAGACAAAUAAUGAAUAAAGCAAUUGCUGGAGAAAUUUUAAUUAAGCUA